Molecule: ribosomal RNA, 518 nt
Filed under: uncultured bacterium
Lineage: Bacteria
Description: bacterial SSU rRNA
Rfam family: Bacterial small subunit ribosomal RNA
Source: RNAcentral
GAUCCUGGCUCAGAUUGAACGCUGGCGGCGUGCUUAACACAUGCAAGUCGCGCGUGAAAGGACUUCGGUCCGAGUAAAGCGGCGCACGGGUGAGUAACGCGUGGAUGAUCUACCCAUGAGUUAGGAAUAACGGCUGGAAACGGUCGCUAAUACCAAAUACGCUCCGAUUUCAACUUCGGGGGAAAGGUGGCCUCUGCUUGCAAGCUACUGCUCAUGGAUGAGUCCGCGUCCCAUUAGCUAGUUGGUGGGGUAACGGCCCACCAAGGCGACGAUGGGUAGCCGGUCUGAGAGGAUGACCGGCCACACUGGGACUGGAACACGGCCCAGACUCCUACGGGAGGCAGCAGUGGGGAAUAUUGCGCAAUGGGCGAAAGCCUGACGCAGCGACGCCGCGUGAGGGAUGAAGGUCCUCGGAUCGUAAACCUCUGUCAGGAGGGAAGAACCGCCACGGUGCUAAUCAGCCGUGGUCUGACGGUACCUCCAAAGGAAGCACCGGCUAACUCCGUGCCAGCAGCGGC